UGUUAAGAAUCUGCAUGAAACAUGAGAGUACAAAUUUUGGCAUAAAAGUGUAAGCUGGAACAUGCCUCAGCAAGCAUAUCAUCAUUCUCUAUCUUGGAAAUUUGACGAAUAUAGUGGUGAAAAUGAUGACAGGUUUCUCAUGCACUCAGGGAACCAAAUCUUGCAGCAUCAGAUUGAUGCAACCCUACAAGCAUGCCAUUGUCUCUUGGCGUUGAUACAAGUACACUAGUUGACAAGGGAGAUAACACGUAGGCGCAUUUGGUUGAUAUGGCAUUUUCAUCUGGUUGACAUCUGAUAGGGCAUAUCUUGGGAACCUACAACAUGUCGGAUUGUAUCUCUCGAUCAACGUAAAUUUCACAAAGGUUGGGCGGCGUUGAUCAAGUAUAGUGUCGUCUCGACCUUUUCGAAUGAGUAUCGCACUGACCCGUAAAGAUCGAAGAUUGGAUCAGCAUGGUGUCGAUCAAGUACAGUG
This 472-nucleotide long non-coding RNA is filed under the name Musa acuminata (dwarf banana). RNAcentral's name for it is "long non-coding RNA (MACU_LNC000363)". Lineage: Eukaryota; Viridiplantae; Streptophyta; Magnoliopsida; Zingiberales; Musaceae. The record is from RNAcentral.